CUUGGGUAGCCCAACCCAUCCUUCCGGCCGGGUCAUCCCACCUACCGGUACCCCCAAGUCUCGCCCGGGAGGGGCCUGGGUUCCGGGGGGGGCCCCCCCCCUUAACCCUUGCUUUACCGGCCCGUUCAGGCCCCGCCCCGGGCCGCCAGCGGGCAGGAAGUUUUUUUUAAUUAUAAUUCACCGGAACAGGUGGGGGGAGAGCCGGGGCACAUCAGGGCAAGCCGGGGGGGGGGGGGGGGGGGUAGGGGGACGCCUUCUGCUUCUGCUUCGCGGUGUCCGGGUGGCCGCCGACAGGGGUUUGUCCUUUGACAUCAAAGUGAGGAGCCCAGCCGCGGCUUCCCAGUGCCCGCCUCUCGCCAACACCUGGCUCCGGGCAUCCUGCUCUGCUCUCAUCCUCUCUCCCCGGGCAGCCCCUCCAGCAGCCUAGCCUCGGGCCAACCUCCCCGCUGCCCAGCAGGCGUGGACCCACCGCCCACUCCGCGUGCGCAGCCUCCCACGAUCUCCUUCCCCAGCCCUGAACUUGUCUGUGGCCCCCAUGCCGCAGCCGUCCCCUCGCUCAGCCUCAGUGCUGUCAUCCGGAAAACGGGCGGAUGGCUAGUGUCCGCCCAGCGAGGCGGCGAGCGGGCCCGCCGGGGCGCAGGGCGCCACCUGGAGGCGACGACGCGCCCUCUUCUCGCUUGCAGGGUCGGCCCGGCCCCACAGGGGGCGCAGCAUCUCACACAACGGAGGGACCAAAAAAGGAAAAAAAAAAAAAAAACCAUCUUUCGAUUUAUUGAAGGAGAAGGGCAAGGGGUGGGGAGGGAAUGAAACGCUUCUGCUUCGUUUAUAAAGAGCGAGUUUUCGGGAGGCCUCUUCUGAAAGGGGGGGGCACCUCUUCCCCAACUACAAGCAGCAGCAAAAGCCAAGCCAAGGAGGGCCGAGGGACACAGGGGGCGCCCGGGCACCCCGAGCGCCCCCUCGGACGGGAGCCACAAGCUUUCUCCCCCCACCCACAAUGCAUCUACCCCAGGGGACCCAUCUGGGCGAGGGAAGGGGGUAUGUACACAGGUGGGGUGGCCCCGGACUGGGCGAGGGAGGGAAUAAGUUAUCCGCAGCGGCGGUGGGCGGGCGGGGACAGUCUCUUGGAGGCAGCGGCGGCCUAGGGGUCCCGUUCUUUCUUGACCUUGAUGUCUCCAGCAAGGAUGGUGGCGAUCUCGCCCUGCAUGAAGGCCCAGGGCACGGAGGAGCCCACCAGCGGGCACUUGUCUCCACUCGGGCAGUACACCUCGCCCGCCGGGCCUUGCGCCUUGAUGAACUCCCGCGAGCAGGGGAAGCAGAACUUGUGUCCGGGCACCGAGGGGCACUGGACGAAGUGGGUGUCUUCCAGCCGCUCCCGGCACAGGGUACAGCACAGCGGGGCCCCGGGGGUCGCCCCGGUGCCGCCGCCGCCGCCCCCACUGACAGCUUCGGCCCCGGCUGUGGGGCUGACUUCUGCCUCCCCGUUCCGGGCCACCAGGCGAUGCUGGACAGGGGGCGCAGCGGCGGACGAGGCUGCGGGGCUGGCGCCUCCUGCCCGCACCGGGCCCCCGCCGCCGCCAGGGUCCUUGGGCGAGUGGCCGAGGGCCUCCGCCACGUUCUUCAAGGCGGCGAUGGGAGAGGGCACGCCGGGGGCCUCGGCGGAGUAGGGGCCGCCGGGGGCCACCCAGUGCCGCUGCUGCUGCUUCUCCUUCUCGAAAUCCGAGCCGAAGAGGGGCCGCGCAGGGCUCAAGCCCGGGGCCAGCGUCAGGCCUCGGCCUCCCAGGCCGGACACCGCGGCCGCCAGCAGCCCCGGGGGCAUCAGGCUGGGCAUGGAGCUGAGCAAGGCCCGCCGCGCCCCCUCCACCACGGCCUCCUCGCGGCCCAGCCCGUUGGCCAGGCGCGACCCCAGGGUGUACUCCAGGGCCGGCGAGGGCAGGGGCAGGCGGCUCGAGGAGGUGGCCCUGUCAUAGCGGUCCUGGCCCGAUCCGCCGCCGCUGCCGCCGCCGCUGGCCCCGCCGCCGCCGCCGCCGCUGCCCGUGCCCGACGGCUGCGCCUGCGCCUGCGGGGGCGGCAGCGGGGGCCCCUGCGUGGCGGCCGCAGCCAAGUCCUUGGAGCUGGGGUGCUUGAGGGCCGGGGGCCCGGGCGAGCGGCCCUCGGGGAGCACGUGGCUGCGCUUGAGCUGGCGCGCGGCAUCUAAGAGGCAGCUCGAUGCGGUCCGCGCCCUUUUACAGUGGAUGAUUAACAGCUGUAGUACUAUGAUCAGGACUUCUUGAUUGGAAUGUGGAAUGUGUUAAUGC
Molecule: long non-coding RNA, 2294 nt
Organism: Oryctolagus cuniculus (rabbit)
Lineage: Eukaryota; Metazoa; Chordata; Mammalia; Lagomorpha; Leporidae
Source: Ensembl